RNAcentral lists this ribosomal RNA (508 nucleotides) under uncultured bacterium. RNAcentral's name for it is "partial 16S ribosomal RNA". It matches the Rfam family "Bacterial small subunit ribosomal RNA", at positions 28 to 507 of the family's 1533-position model. The record is from RNAcentral.
GACGAACGCUGGCGGCGUGCCUAAUACAUGCAAGUCGAACGCUUCUUUCCUCCCGAGUGCUUGCACUCAAUUGGAAAGAGGAGUGGCGGACGGGUGAGUAACACGCGGGUAACCUACCCAUCAGAGGGGGAUAACACUUGGAAACAGGUGCUAAUACCGCAUAACAGUUUAUGCCGCAUGGCAUAAGAGUGAAAGGCGCUUUCGGGUGUCGCUGAUGGAUGGACCCGCGGUGCAUUAGCUAGUUGGUGAGGUAACGGCUCACCAAGGCCACGAUGCAUAGCCGACCUGAGAGGGUGAUCGGCCACACUGGGACUGAGACACGGCCCAGACCCCUACGGGAGGCAGCAGUAGGGAAUCUUCGGCAAUGGACGAAAGUCUGACCGAGCAACGCCGCGUGAGUGAAGAAGGUUUUCGGAUCGUAAAACUCUGUUGUUAGAGAAGAACAAGGACGUUAGUAACUGAACGUCCCCUGACGGUAUCUAACCAGAAAGCCACGGCUAACUACGUG